RNAcentral lists this unclassified non-coding RNA (214 nucleotides) under Hevea brasiliensis (rubber tree). Lineage: Eukaryota; Viridiplantae; Streptophyta; Magnoliopsida; Malpighiales; Euphorbiaceae. The record is from RNAcentral.
CUGAACCGGACUUAACUCUAAAAGCACCACUUUCUCGUAAACUCUUGCCCCUUCUUUUUGUGAAGGGGAGAAGAAUCUGAUCAAGACUUGGACCAUCUCCCAGUAUUUUAUGGCUUUGAGAUCUAGCAAGAGGCUUGGGUUCCUCACGAUACAAGGCAUGUAGUUCUGCAUCACUACGUGUUCUUUUGAGAACACCUCCCAAGUCUUUUAUUGC